Molecule: non-coding RNA, 78 nt
Filed under: unclassified sequences
Description: skipping-rope RNA
Rfam family: skipping-rope RNA
About the family: Firmicutes, Fusobacteria, AlphaProteobacteria, Spirochaetes. Downstream gene
Source: Rfam by way of RNAcentral
AGUCGACGAGGGCGGAACAGGCAGCCGCCACGCCUUAGUGGUCUUAAAGAGAUGCGGGUAGGUCAUCCCGCCGUGGCU